AGUCAUGCAAUGAGCACAGAGCAAACUAUUCUUUCGCCUUUUACUAAAGAAUAUUGUGUGCUUGCUGCAUCAAGUGGCAUACGUAUAUUUUUGAAGGGAGUCCCAACUAAUUAGGGUCU
This is a small nuclear RNA of Amaranthus tricolor (Joseph's coat), 119 nucleotides long. RefSeq annotates it as U5 spliceosomal RNA. The record is from RefSeq and is a predicted model, not a curated record. The transcript has a single exon. NCBI's taxonomy places the organism in Eukaryota, Viridiplantae, Streptophyta, Magnoliopsida, Caryophyllales, Amaranthaceae.